This 460-nucleotide ribosomal RNA is filed under the name uncultured bacterium. RNAcentral describes it as "partial 16S ribosomal RNA". It matches the Rfam family "Bacterial small subunit ribosomal RNA", at positions 338 to 795 of the family's 1533-position model. The record is from RNAcentral.
CCUACGGGCGGCAGCAGUGAGGAAUAUUGGUCAAUGGACGAGAGUCUGAACCAGCCACGUAGCGUGAAGGAUGACUGACCUAUGGGUUGUAAACUUCUUUUGUAAAGGAAUAAAACGAGGCACGUGUGCCUUUUUGCAUGUACUUUAUGAAUAAGGAUCGGCUAACUCCGUGCCAGCAGCCGCGGUAAUACGGAGGAUCCGAGCGUUAUCCGGAUUUAGUGGGUGUAAAGGGAGCGUAGAUGGGUUGUUAAGUCAGUUGUGAAAGUUUGCGGCUCAACCGUAGAAUUGCAAUUGAUACUGGCAGUCUUGAGUACAGUUGAGGUAGGCGGAAUUCGUGGUGUAGCGGUGAAAUGCUUAGAUAUCACGAAGAACCCCGAUUGCGAAGGCAGCUUACUAAACUGUGACUGACAUUGAUGCUCGAAAGUGUGGGUAUCAAACAGGAUUAGAUACCCGGGUAGUC